This 229-nucleotide unclassified non-coding RNA is filed under the name plant metagenome. RNAcentral's name for it is "partial contains small subunit ribosomal RNA, internal transcribed spacer 1, and 5.8S ribosomal RNA". The record is from RNAcentral.
UCUCCGUAGGUGAACCUGCGGAGGGAUCAUUACAGAGUUCAUGCCCUACCGGGUAGAUCUCCCACCCUAUGUUAUUAUUAUUUUGUUGCUUUGGCGGGCCGUUAGGCUCCGGCCCGACUACCGGCCCCGGCUGGUAAGCGCCCGCCAGAGGACCCAAAACCCUGAAUAUUAGUGUCGUCUGAGUACUAUAUAAUAGUUAAAACUUUCAACAACGGAUCUCUUGGUUUUG